CCUACGGGCGGCAGCAGUAGGGAAUAUUGCUCAAUGGGCGAAACCCUGAAGCAGCAACGCCGCGUGGAGGAUGAAGGUUUUCGGAUUGUAAACUCCUUUUGUUAGAGAAGAUAAUGACUGUAUCUAACGAAUAAGCACCGGCUAACUCCGUGCCAGCAGCCGCGGUAAUACGGCGGGUGCAAGCGUUCCUCGGAAUCACUGGGCGUAAAGCGCGCGUAGGCGGGAUAGCAAGUCAGAUGUGAAAUCCUAUGGCUUAACCAGAGAACUGCCUUUGAAACUGUUAUUCUAGAGUGUGGGAGAGGUAGGUGGAAUUCUUGGUGUAGGGGUAAAAUCCGUAGAUAUCAAGAGGAAUACUCAUUGCGAAGGCGACCUGCUAGAACAUAACUGACGCUGAUGCGCGAAAGCGUGGGGAGCAAACAGGAUUAGAUACCCCUGUAGUC
Molecule: ribosomal RNA, 440 nt
Filed under: uncultured bacterium
Lineage: Bacteria
Description: partial 16S ribosomal RNA
Rfam family: Bacterial small subunit ribosomal RNA
Source: RNAcentral